Molecule: ribosomal RNA, 250 nt
Filed under: uncultured bacterium
Lineage: Bacteria
Description: partial 16S ribosomal RNA
Rfam family: Bacterial small subunit ribosomal RNA
Source: RNAcentral
UACAGAGGUGGCAAGCGUUGUUCGGAAUUACUGGGCGUAAAGGGCGCGUAGGCGGCCUACUAAGUCAGACGUGAAAUCCCCCGGCUUAACCUGGGAACUGCGUCUGAUACUGGAAGGCUUGAGUAUGGGAGAGGGAUGUAGAAUUCCAGGUGUAGCGGUGAAAUGCGUAGAUAUCUGGAGGAAUACCGGUGGCGAAGGCGGCAUCCUGGACCAUUACUGACGCUGAGGCGCGAAAGCUAGGGGAGCAAAC